GCCCCUCAGCCUGCCCACCCUGGUGUGAGACGGGGCCCUGGGUCUGGGAGGGCGCAGACAGAAGGAAUGAGAGCGAGGCUCUCAGCAGCCCGAGGGAGCUAUCUAGAGACCAUGAGGAAACAGGCCUGCAGAUGGAAGUGGGGUCUUCUGAGGAUGCUCAGAGCGAUGAGGGGAUGGAAAGAGGCUGCAUCCUUGAUGACGUGGUUGAGCAGCUGCACCAAAUCUGGAGAAGAAUCUCCGACUUUCAGGAUGGAAACUACUAUUGCACGGAGCACUUUUAGAUGGAUUCCUUCAGGAUCGACACUGCUGGAUGUGUGAGCAAGCAGAGCUGUGUAGCACGGAAGCUGCAGCCCUGCCGCUGGUCCGCGGGGUUGCCAGUGCAGGCUCCAGGACAUGGAACCCUAAAGAUGGGAGCCUUUGGGAGGGUGGUUGUUAGAUGAGGGGAAGGCUGAAAACAUGCAUAUGCGUAAACCCUUGCUACGUACUCAACAAUUACACAAACAUUCUUGCACAGCUGUCGUUAAGAAGCCCCUUGGAAAAUCCUCCUCUUCUGAGGAACUUAACCUUCUGUCUCAGUGUAGUCUAGGCUAAUCAGGUGUUCUGGGAAACAAGCCAACCUGCACGAAGAGCGCCUGCAGAUAUGACAUGCAAUGUCUGCAGCCUUUAGUAGAAGAGUCUCAAACCCUUUUCUCUAUUGUCCAUCUCAGACCAAAGGGGACGUUUAAUGACCAGAUCACUCUUGUACCAAUGGGCAGGGGAGGUGUGUUUUGGCCCAGGGCACGGCAAUGGGCCCACCCACUGCAGCCCCGUUUUGUAUCCUGUUCAGGCUGUCCUUGAAACUUGGAAUAUGUUUCCAUUCUUCCCAUGCUUUCUCUGAAGUAUGCUAACCCUGGGUGAAAGGAGGUGGAGGAGAAUGUCUCGGGUGGCAGAGACAAGCGCAGGCCACACGGCUCGGGCUGGAGAGCCAGCCCCUGAGGCCAAGGCGCAGUAUCGGCCCCGAUGGGGCCCAGGCCUGUCUGGGAAUGCAGGGCAGCUGGCUCUCAUCACACUCAUCUCCAGUGGUGGCGGCAUGCCCUGCGCAUCCGUACCUGUCCUCAGUGACCCAUUCUCAUCCCUGAGUGUGCAGAGCGAGGACAGUUGAGAGGACACCCCAGGGGACGGGCCCAUAAAUACGAACAGGUUUUGCUCAGGUACAACUCUGAUGAGU
Phyllostomus discolor (pale spear-nosed bat) is the source of this 1207-nucleotide long non-coding RNA. RefSeq lists it as uncharacterized. NCBI's taxonomy places the organism in Eukaryota, Metazoa, Chordata, Mammalia, Chiroptera, Phyllostomidae. The record is from RefSeq and is a predicted model, not a curated record. The transcript is spliced from 3 exons.